AAUAAGAGAAUAACAAAUCAAAUUUUUUCUCCUGAUUUUUAGCUUUUUCCUCCUGAAAAAAUUCAAAUUCAACUAAAAAUGCAAAAAAUCAGGAUGAAAAAUAUGAUUUGUCAUUCUCCUGUU
This is a non-coding RNA of Gossypium hirsutum (cotton), 123 nucleotides long. The record is from Rfam. NCBI's taxonomy places the organism in Eukaryota, Viridiplantae, Streptophyta, Magnoliopsida, Malvales, Malvaceae.